CCUACGGGAGGCAGCAGUAGGGAAUCUUCGGCAAUGGACGAAAGUCUGACCGAGCAACGCCGCGUGAGUGAAGAAGGUUUUCGGAUCGUAAAACUCUGUUGGCAGAGAAGAACGUUGGUGAGAGUGGAAAGCUCAUCACGUCACGGUAACUACCCAGAAAGGCACGGCUAAGUACGUGCCAGCGGCCGCGGUAAUAGGCGGGUCCCGAGAGUAGUCCGGAUUUAUUGGGCGAAAGGCGAUCGCAGGGGGGUUAUUAAGUCUGGUGGAAAGGGCAGUGGCUCAACCAGUGUAUGCAUUGGGAACUGGGUGGCUUGAGUGCAGGAGAGGAGAGUGGAAUUCCAUGUGUAGCGGUGAAAUGCGUAGAUAUAAGGAGGAACACCGGUGGCGAAGGCGGCUCGCUGGCCUGUAACUGACAUUGAGGCUCGAAAGCGUGGGGAGCAAACAGGAUUAGAUACCCCAGUAGUC
RNAcentral lists this ribosomal RNA (465 nucleotides) under uncultured bacterium. RNAcentral's name for it is "partial 16S ribosomal RNA". It matches the Rfam family "Bacterial small subunit ribosomal RNA", at positions 338 to 795 of the family's 1533-position model. The record is from RNAcentral.